Molecule: ribosomal RNA, 465 nt
Filed under: uncultured bacterium
Lineage: Bacteria
Description: partial 16S ribosomal RNA
Rfam family: Bacterial small subunit ribosomal RNA
Source: RNAcentral
GAUGAACGCUGGCGGCGUGCUUAACACAUGCAAGUCGAACGGAAAGGCUCCUGCUUGCAGGGGUACUCGAGUGGCGAACGGGUGAGUAACACGUGGGUGAUCUGCCCUGCACUUCGGGAUAAGCCUGGGAAACUGGGUCUAAUACCGGAUAGGACCACAUUUUGGAUGGUGUGGUGGAAAGUUUUUCGGUGUGGGAUGAGCUCGCGGCCUAUCAGCUUGUUGGUGGGGUAAUGGCCUACCAAGGCGUCGACGGGUAGCCGGCCUGAGAGGGUGUACGGCCACAUUGGGACUGAGAUACGGCCCAGACUCCUACGUGAGGCAGCAGUGGGGAAUAUUGCACAAUGGGCGCAAGCCUGAUGCAGCGACGCCGCGUGGGGGAUGACGGCCUUCGGGUUGUAAACUCCUUUCGCUAGGGACGAAGCGCAAGUGACGGUACCUGGAGAAGAAGCACCGGCUAACUACGUG